RNAcentral lists this microRNA precursor (137 nucleotides) under Otolemur garnettii (small-eared galago). Its description in RNAcentral is "miRNA (ENSOGAG00000025729.1)". Lineage: Eukaryota; Metazoa; Chordata; Mammalia; Primates; Galagidae. The record is from RNAcentral.
GAGGGAUGGAGAGAGCAGGAAGAUUAAUGUCAUCGUGGAGUUGGACAGCAAGGCUUCUUUAACACGAUAAAUAUUGCAUGAAGUGCUGAUGUAACCUUUACUGCAGCAUGACAUGGGAUUUGGCUGUUCUGAUGGCU